GUUAAAGCCGUAUUUCUCCUUCCCUGCGCUUUCCUCUUUCCCCGCUUUAUUGUUUUUUUUUUUUUCUCUUUUCCUUCUUCUUUUCCCGUCGUAAAAAUAUGCUUUAUACUCUUAUUUAAUGGGAUAUAGGAUAAAGGGAUGGAGGCGACGCGACGCACGCCGCGUGUCCGCUCUUUCCCGGCUGCCCCCGAGCCGAACGCGGCCCGAGCCCGAGGCUUCCCCACGGCGCUGGAAUCGCGCUGCUCGCGGUGCGGGGCUGGGAGGAAGAGGGGAGCCCAUCACCCCCAUCCCGCUCCAUCUCGGGGCGGCACACGGGGAGAAAGGGGGAAGGAAAGAAAAAAAGGGAGGGGGGGGACUGUUUCUCUAUUGUGUCCUGAGCGGAUUCUCCCUCGGCUCCCCUCCCGGUCUGGUUGCAAUGAGGGGCUUCGGAAUGGACGCGCGUGGGGUGGAACGAAGGGAGAGCGAUUUUUUCACUAAAACCAUGGGAGAAGUUGGGAUUUUCUUUGGUUCGACCCCAAUAGGCAUUCACUGCUGUUUAUCAGACCUUCACGCUGGGCAGGUGUAGCCAUCACAGAACAAGCACACAGUGUGGCAGCACAUGGGAGCACUCUGGAGCAGAAUUCUUUCUGGAGGAGGAAAGUGUAGGGCAUGGUGGACACAGCAACUGGAGGAAAAAAAGAAAGGAGCUGAUGAAGCGUAUUUGGAAAAGGAUCUGUCCCUCUAUGAUGUCAACACAUUUUUCUGCAGAGCUCUUUGUAUGAUGUUGCCUACCUGUAAGACAAAUUGUCUUUGUCUCGCCGUUAGAGUUCUUGUGCACCUGCGUCGAUAACUUCAUGUAGAAUACACCAAGAGAUAGCUUUUAUAUCAUGGCAUGGGGACCCACGUGCCAGUGGUCCACACAGUAGGGUGUAUAUGUUGAAAUUGACAGAUAUGGCCAUUUCCUCCCUAGGAGUGACUAAUGCCAGAGGGCAACGGUAGUUCAUUAUGCCAUGCACUGUGUCAGGGAGGUGCCCCAAGCUUAUGGUGGCCAGAAUCCCUACGAGUGAAGAACUUUUUGGUGAAUCUCCUGCUUUGUGAAGAUUGUCUUCUCAGCUGACGGACGGAAACAUCCUGACUCAGGGAAACACAAUAAUGAGGGAUUUGUGUUUCCCCUUUGUUUGCCUUUUGCAGUGCCCAGGGGUUGGAUGUGCAGGAGCAAGUCCUUGGCUCUUCUACAUGAUGUAAAUCUACCAUAUUCUCUGUUUGUUGAGAGCAACCAGGAAGGUAUUCAGGGCCCAAGAUUCCAGUUUAGGAAGUUGUAGCAAUGAUGGGCAUCUUCCCUACUCAUUGUUUGAAAGAUUGUGAUAACAGCAACAGAAAUAAUGGCAGUCAAUGAGAAAUGAAGUUCUUAGUUCUUCUGUGCAUCAGAAUACACUGCAAGCUGAUAAGCUGUGUAUGGAAAGCAUCACAGUAGUCUGUGUAGCAAAGUACAGCCAGGGAGUACACGUGCAGUGUGCUGAGGCAUUUUUAAGCAAUAUUUAAGAGGAAAAGAGGUAACCCCUAAUCUGCUUAUCCAGUGGUGCGUGGGUAAGCGUGCUGACGCUGAGGAUGUCCCUGGAGCUAUGGCAGUAAGAAGGGAAAGCAGGGAACCUCAUUCCAGGUUAUGAAAGAACAUAAUAUGCAGGAGUGUUUUAUGUAAGUCUACGAGGGGGGAAAAUGGAUGAAAAUAGGGGAAUGGAGUUGUAGUGACUGUUACACCUGCAGAAGAAGUUGACUUUAGAGGUGGUCAUAAUGUGAAUUUCCUGUGUGUGCUGUGUUUGUAAUGUGUGAAAACAAAUUUAACUCAUCAGGUGGGAAAGUUCUUACAGAACUGAUGUCUGUGGACAGAAAGGAGUUUGUAACACAGUUAAGAUGCUGCAUGUACAGAACAAAAUUUCCCUGGACUUCACUGGGCUUUGGAUCAGACCUUCCUUCUGAAUUAAAAAAAAGAAGAGUACCACAUAAAUACAGUAUUCGUUUUGCAGAUAUUCUGCUUCAAACAGAGUAACUGAGUUCAGCCACUCUGCUUUUAUUAUUAUGACAAAUAUCUCCACAUUAGCAUAAGGGAAAACAAGGGGUGAAAUGCCAGGCGUGCUCCCACGCAUCUGAACCAACAGAAUCGCUCUCUGCAUUUUGCAGACCUUCUGCAUGAAUCAUUAUGCCCAUUCUGUGUAAUAAAUAAUAAUAAUAAU
Molecule: long non-coding RNA, 2210 nt
Organism: Gallus gallus (chicken)
Lineage: Eukaryota; Metazoa; Chordata; Aves; Galliformes; Phasianidae
Source: Ensembl